AGCUAACUGAUCCCACCUGGUUCCUGCACAGUGCAGUACAGCAGCAUGCACAGGAAGGGCCGUCAACAUUAUCUUCUGUAAGAUGGAAAGAAGAAAACCCUGAAGCUAUCGCUGUCCCAGAUGCAAGUGAGGCGAAAAUGUUUUUUUUCAAAGAAACUUAACAGAAGGAAGACUAUGAAAGGCUUGAUUUGUUUUUGCUAUCAUAUAGGAGAAAUAUGAAAGUUCACCUCUAUAGACCCUGCAGUCAUGACGGGUGUGAUGAAUAUGGUGACUCAGGAACUGCUGCCAUCAUGAUCAGCAAUAAAGGUGACAUGAGGAGUUGUUCUUUCUUUCUUUCUUUCUUUCUUUCUUUCUUUCUUUCUUUCUUUCUUUCCACAUUAAUUAUUUCACCUGAGUCUGCAUCUUUUCCACCUCUUCUUCACCUCUGUCUCUGCUCUCUCGCCAUCUUUCUUCCUUCCUCUCUCUCUCUGUUUCUCAGAGGAGGAGGCAGUCUGUCAGUCGCUCAGCAGAGACGCAGUGUAUUAAUGUGACACAGGGUAAAAGGACACGUCAAAGGAGAUCAAUCACAGGGCCGUGGCACGGGACACGGAAGCUUUUAAUAAACCCAAUCAUCAGGGUGCUUC
Non-coding RNA from Xyrichtys novacula (pearly razorfish), 623 nucleotides. The record is from the annotation of a GenBank genome assembly. Lineage: Eukaryota; Metazoa; Chordata; Actinopteri; Labriformes; Labridae.